This 1961-nucleotide ribosomal RNA is filed under the name human gut metagenome. Its description in RNAcentral is "bacterial LSU rRNA". It matches the Rfam family "Bacterial large subunit ribosomal RNA", at positions 1 to 1977 of the family's 2925-position model. The record is from RNAcentral.
GUGAACAACCAAGGGCGCGCGGUGGAUGCCUAGGCUCUCGGAGGCGAUGAAGGACGCGAUAAGCCGCGAUAGGCCACGGCGAGGUGCAAGUAACCCUUGACCCGUGGAUUUCCGAAUGGGGCAACCCGGCUGGAUAGAUUCCAGUCAUGCAUUAAUGCAAGCGAACGCGGGGAACUGAAACAUCUCAUUACCCGCAGGAGAAGAAAACAACAUGUGAUUCCCCCAGUAGUGGCGAGCGAACGGGGAAGAGCCCAAACCGCUGCCGUUUCGGCGACAGCGGGGUCAUGGGACCGCGACAUUCGACGGAAGACGAAGUGCAAUUACCUGGAAAGGUAAGCCGUGGAGGGUGACAGCCCCGUGCACGACACCUCUUUCUAAGAUAGCGGUAUCCCGAGUAGGGCGGGACACGAGAAAUCCUGCCUGAAUUCGCCAGGACCUCCUGGCAAGGCUAAAUACUCCCGAGAGACCGAUAGUGAACCAGUACCGCGAGGGAAAGGUGAAAAGUACCCCGAGCAGGGGGGUGAAAUAGACCCUGAACCCGCGCGCCUACAAGCGGUCGGAGCCAUGAAAUAUGGUGACGGCGUGCCUUUUGCAUAAUGAGCCUACGAGUUAGUCGUCACCAGCGAGGUUAAGGGCUUCAGGCCCGUUAGCCGAAGUGAAAGCGAGCCUUAACAGGGCGUUAAGUUGGUGGCGCUAGACGCGAAACCUUGUGAUCUACCCACGAGCAGGUUGAAGUCGCGGUAACACGUGAUGGAGGACCGAACCGGUAAACGUUGAAAAGUUUUCGGAUGACUCGCGGGUAGGGGUGAAAGGCCAAUCAAACUGGGAAAUAGCUCGUACUCUCCGAAAUGCAUUUCGGUGCAGCCUGUGAUGUUCUGUUCCAGAGGUAGAGCUACUGGUUGGACGCGAGGGCUUCACCGCCUAUCAAAUCCGGAUAAACUCCGAAUGCUGGAACACGAAAUCAUGGAGUGAGCCCGCGGGUGCUAAGGUCCGCGGACGAGAGGGAAAGAACCCGGACCACCGGCUAAGGUCCCGGAUGGACAGUUAAGUUGAUCAAACGAGGUGGGAUCGCGGAGACAGCUAGGAUGUUGGCUUGGAAGCAGCCAUUCAUUUAAAGAGUGCGUAACAGCUCACUAGUCGAGCGAUCCCGCGUGGAUAAUACACGGGCAUCAAACUGUCAACCGAAGCCGUGGGGUUAGUUAAUGACUAACCGGUAGGAGAGCAUUCCUGCCAGCUUUGAAGGUCACCCGCGAGAGUGACUGGAGCGGCAUGAAAAGCAAAUGUAGGCAUAAGUAACGAUAAUGGGGGCGAGAACCCCCCACGCCGCAAGACCAAGGAUUCCCCGGCAAUGUCAAUCAGCCGGGGGUCAGCCGGCCUCUAAGGCUCACCCGAAGGGGGAUGCCGACGAGAAACGGGUUAACAUUCCCGUGCUUCUCGUCACCGUGACGCGGUGACGGGGUGAUGAAUGGACCGCGCGCUGACGGAAUAGCGCGUUGAAGGCCGUACCCUUUGACGGUGGUAGUCAAGCACGCCACCGGAGGCGAAAGUCGAUAGUACCUCGAGGCCUCGGCCGAGGGGAUAGCGUCCAGGCAAUUUACCCCCUAGAAAACCCGCUAAACUUCAAGUGACGAGGAACCGUACUGUAAACGGACACACGUGGUCGGGUAGAACAUACCAAGGCGCUCGAGUGAUUCAUGGUCAAGGAACUAGGCAAAAUAGUCCUGUAACUUCGGGAAAAAGGACGCUCUAGUGAUAGAGCCGCAGAGUAAUGGCCCAGGCGACUGUUUACCAAAAACACAUGGCUAUGCCAAAUCGAAAGAUGACGUAUAUGGCCUGACACCUGCCCGGUGCCGGAAGGUUAAGAGGAGAGCUCAUCCGCGAGGAGAAGGUUUGAAUUGAAGCCCCGGUAAACGGCGGCCGUAACUAUAACGGUCCUAAGGUAGCGAAAUUCCUUGUCGGGU